Long non-coding RNA from Prunus dulcis (almond), 717 nucleotides. RefSeq lists it as uncharacterized. The record is from RefSeq and is a predicted model, not a curated record. NCBI's taxonomy places the organism in Eukaryota, Viridiplantae, Streptophyta, Magnoliopsida, Rosales, Rosaceae. The transcript has 4 exons.
GAAGAGAGGGAGAGUGCUCUGGUGGGGAAGAGGCAGGUGCGCCGCUAUCACGAACACAUUCAGACCACGAGCUGACGCAAGUUGAAAUCAUGCUUCUCUGUUUUUCUAGAAUUGGGUUUUGGUGUUUCACCGACGAGCUGACGCCAGAGAGAGAGAGGGAUGGGGUUGGUGUGGGUGCGAGUGGGGGGCUGAACAAGGGGUGCUGGGUUUGUUGGGCUGAGGAGGGGCUGGGAUUUUUUAAGAAUUCUCAGAGGUUUAAUAAUUUGCUUUUACAAAUACCAUGAUCGUUUUGGGAAAUCUCUCUUUCUGGAGGCAGAUUCCAGAGUUGUUUAAGGGAAAUUCGUAGUCGAGCUACCGAUGUUCAUGAUAAGGAAAAGGGAAUCAAGAUUACUAAGAAGGAUUGGGAAAAGUUGAAUGUACAAUUGUUUCAUACAACAAUUUUCCUACUGCUGCUGGAUUGGCUUCCUCAGCAGCUGGUUUUGCUUAUCUUGUUUUUGCCCUCGCAAAGUUAAUGAAUGCGAAUGAAGAUCACAGCCAGCUUUCUGCUCCUGUAAUCAAUCUGAGAUUUUAAUAAGCCAUCGCAAUCUGACUAAGUUUUACAGAAUACUUAACACAAUAGUAAGUGCUGAUAUCGACCCUGAAGAACGUCUCCUUGACAGUAGCUUAAUUGAUUUUGACAGAGCAAGCCUCCUUUAUGCCAUUGGGAAUAAUAAUGUG